RNAcentral lists this ribosomal RNA (2908 nucleotides) under Caldichromatium japonicum. RNAcentral's name for it is "23S ribosomal RNA". It matches the Rfam family "Bacterial large subunit ribosomal RNA". Lineage: Bacteria; Pseudomonadati; Pseudomonadota; Gammaproteobacteria; Chromatiales; Chromatiaceae. The record is from RNAcentral.
GUUAUAUGGUCAAGCGAAGUAAGCGCACACGGUGGAUGCCUAGGCGGUUGGAGGCGAUGAAGGACGUGGCAGCCUGCGCAAAGCCUCGGGGAGCUGGCAAGCGAGCAAUGAUCCGGGGAUUUCCGAAUGGGGCAACCCGCCUGGUGAAAGCCAGGCAUCUUGAUCUGAAUCCAUAGGGUCGAGAGGCGAACCUGGGGAACUGAAACAUCUCAGUACCUAGAGGAACAGACAUCAACCGAGAUUCCCUGAGUAGUGGCGAGCGAAAGGGGACGAGCCCAAGAAGCGACGGUAGGGUUAGGGGAAGCGUCUGGAAAGGCGCGCCAGAGAUGGUGACAGCCCAGUACCUGAAAACGCUGCUGUUGUGAACACGAGUAAGGCGGGACACGUGUAAUCCUGUCUGAAAACGGGGGGACCAUCCUCCAAGGCUCAAUACUCCCAACCGACCGAUAGUGGACCAGUACCGUGAGGGAAAGGCGAAAAGAACCCCGGUGAGGGGAGUGAAAUAGAACCUGAAACCGUGUGCGUACAAGCAGUCGGAGCCCCUGCGGGGGUGACGGCGUACCUUUUGUAUAAUGGGUCAGCGAGUUACUGCUCAGUGGCAAGCUUAACCGAGUAGGGGAGGCGUAGCGAAAGCGAGUCUGAAGAGGGCGUUGAGUCGCUGGGCGUAGACCCGAAACCGGGCGAUCUACCCAUGGCCAGGGUGAAAGUCGGGUAACGCCGACUGGAGGCCCGAACCGGGAGCUGUUGAAAAAGCUUCGGAUGAGCUGUGGGUUGGAGUGAAAGGCUAAGCAAGCUCGGAGAUAGCUGGUUCUCCCCGAAAGCUAUUGAGGUAGCGCCUCGUGUGAUCACUCUGUGGGGUAGAGCACUGUUUCGGCUCGGGGGCCAUCCCGGCUUACCAACCCGAGGCAAACUCCGAAUACGCAGAAGUGCAACACGGGAGACAGACGGCGGGUGCUAACAUCCGUCGUCGAGAGGGCAACAACCCAGACCGCCAGCUAAGGUCCCCAAAUGAGGUCUCAGUGGGAAACGAUGUCGGAAGGCCCAGACAGCCAGGAGGUUGGCUUAGAAGCAGCCACCCUUUAAAGAAAGCGUAAUAGCUCACUGGUCGAGUCGGUCGGCGCGGAAGAUGUAACGGGGCUAUGAAGAUCUCUACCGAAGCUGCGGCUGCUGUAGAGCAGGGUAGGGGAGCGUUCCGUAAGCCGGUGAAGGUGGAUCGUAAGGUCUGCUGGAGGUAUCGGAAGUGCGAAUGCUGACAUGAGUAACGACUAUCGGGGUGAAAGACCCCGACGCCGCAAACCCAAGGGUUCCUGCGCAACGGUCAUCGGCGCAGGGUGAGUCGGACCCUAAGGCGAGGCCGAGAGGCGUAGUCGAUGGGAAGCCGGUUAAGAUUCCGGCACCGCUGUUCACUGCGAUGGGGGGACGAAGACGGCUAACGCAGCCAGGUGUUGGUUGUCCUGGUUUAAGCGCUUAGGUAGAUCCCUUAGGCAAAUCCGGGGGAUUAAUACUGAGACGUGAUGCCGAGCCAAAUGGCGAAGUGCGUGAUGCCCUGCUUCCGAGAAAAGCCUCUAAGCUUCAGGUGGGCAGUGCCCGUACCCGAAACCGACACAGGUGGGUGGGGAGAGUAUCCCAAGGCGCAUGAGAGAACUCGGGUGAAGGAACUAGGCAAAAUGGCACCGUAACUUCGGGAGAAGGUGCGCCCCUAGUAGGUAAAGCCCCCUGCGGGUGGAGCUGAGGGGGGCCGCAGUGACCAGGCCGCUGCGACUGUUUAUUAAAAACACAGCACUCUGCCAACGCGUAAGCGGACGUAUAGGGUGUGACGCCUGCCCGGUGCCGGAAGGUUAAGUGAUGGGGUCAGCCGCAAGGCGAAGCUCUUGAGCGAAGCCCCGGUAAACGGCGGCCGUAACUAUAACGGUCCUAAGGUAGCGAAAUUCCUUGUCGGGUAAGUUCCGACCUGCACGAAUGGCGUAACGAUGGCGGCACUGUCUCCACCCGAGACUCAGUGAAAUUGAACUCGCUGUGAAGAUGCAGUGUACCCGCGGCUAGACGGAAAGACCCCGUGAACCUUGACUAUAGCUUUGCACUGAACGUUGAAGCAGCUUGUGUAGGAUAGGUGGGAGGCGAUGAAGCGGCGACGCCAGUUGCCGUGGAGCCGACCUUGAAAUACCACCCUGGCUGGUUCGCCGUUCUAACCUCGCCCCGUGAUCCGGGGCAGGGACCGUGCAUGGUGGGUAGUUUGACUGGGGCGGUCUCCUCCCAAAAGGUAACGGAGGAGCACGAAGGUACCCUCAGGUGGGUCGGACAUCCACCGUUAGAGUGCAAAGGCACAAGGGUGCUUAACUGCGAGACAGACAAGUCGAGCAGGUGCGAAAGCAGGUCUUAGUGAUCCGGUGGUUCCUAAUGGACGGGCCAUCGCGCAACGGAUAAAAGGUACUCCGGGGAUAACAGGCUGAUACCGCCCAAGAGUUCAUAUCGACGGCGGUGUUUGGCACCUCGAUGUCGGCUCAUCACAUCCUGGGGCUGUAGUCGGUCCCAAGGGUAUGGCUGUUCGCCAUUUAAAGUGGUACGCGAGCUGGGUUUAGAACGUCGUGAGACAGUUCGGUCCCUAUCUGCCGUGGGCGUUGGAGACUUGCGGGACGCUGCGCCUAGUACGAGAGGACCGGCGUGGACGCACCCCUGGUGUUCCGGUUGUCACGCCAGUGGCAUCGCCGGGUAGCUAUGUGCGGACGGGAUAACCGCUGACAGCAUCUAAGCGGGAAGCCCCCCCCAAGAUUAGGUCUCCCGGGCUCAUUAAGCCCCUCAAGGUCCGUCGUAGACCACGACGUCAAUAGGCGGGAUGUAGAAGUGCGGCAACGCAUGCAGCUAACCCGUCCUAAUCAACCGUGCGGCUUGACCAUAUAACACCCAAGCA